RNAcentral lists this long non-coding RNA (1171 nucleotides) under Homo sapiens (human). RNAcentral's name for it is "HSALNT0386828". Lineage: Eukaryota; Metazoa; Chordata; Mammalia; Primates; Hominidae. The record is from RNAcentral.
GAGGUGGCUUCCGGCCGCCAGGCGAGACUCCGCGGGAAAACUCCCUGCUAGAGAGACUAGGAGAUUUGGGGCUGCGGCCGUUUCCUCCGGAGCACCCACGGGACUGUGUGCUGGGGUCCCUCCACCGGCUGUGUCCUUUAUUCUUCUUUCUCACCCAACGAUUUACCUGAACGGUUAUAAAGUGCACGUUAUUUCCCUAAGCACUUUGAGUAUAUUGGCCCACUGCAUUCUGGACUUCAAAAUUUCUGAUGCGAAAUAUGCUGAUACUUUUGUUGAAGAAAUCUGGUCCUUCUUACUGAUGUGUUGCUCUUCUUCAUGGCUCGUGAAAACUAUUAGAGUCAUCCAAGGGUGGGAAGAGAGAUCAGCAACGUUAACUGGGUGUCAAGAAAACAUACCGAGAUUGAAGCCAUCCACUUCUGCAGGAACACCGAAAAGAAAGCUUACAAUCUGAAGGUGUCCGUUCCUACACUGGUCAGACCACUGUCCUUGGGGCAGCUGGGGUCUUUGGGACCCUCCACCGGGCUCGCCGGUCCGUCGGACUUUUGGCUGAGAUCCGUGUCAGACUCCUCCGAAUAGUCGUCUGUUGGCAUCGAGGGCUGAACCCCUGAGGUGCUGCAUGAACUUGAGGGGAUAAGAGUGGUUUCAAAGGAGACUGUUCCGACCAGGAGGUCCCAUCCCUGACACACCAGUACUUGGGAGACUCAACAGGAACGAACUGAAGUCUUGUUGCUUUUAAAGAACUAGAAAGCUGUUUUUGGUCGCUUCGAAGAGAGGGGAGACUCUGAGCUACCUGGGAAGGAGAUGCGUUUGGAGGUUGCAGGAGAAUCUGUCAGCUCCUUCUCUGCUUGGCUGGACGAUGCUAAAAGAGAAAGUAGAAGAUGCAAUACAGCAGCCAGACCAGGCCAGCUCCCAGAGGGUUUGUGUUGGGUGAAAAUCAACAUUCAUUUAUAGCACAGGAUUUUCUUAAAACACCAAAAUUCAAGAAGGAUGAACAUCCGGACUGAUUUAUCAAGCAUGUUGGAAAAGAAGCAAGUGUUUCUUUCUCCCCCAUGAAUUUCUGUCACUACUUUAACAACUGAACAUUAGGAAAAGAAGGCAAAGAAAUGGAAUAAAAGGCUCUGGAGUUGGAUUAAGCUAAAUUCAGUCUGUUCUAACCUCCCCCAAUCUAGAU